GCAAUUAUCACUGAUAUCCAAAAUGAAAGAACCAUUGGAACAUGGUAAAUCAGGAUAUUGCUGCACCAGAGGAAUAUUUAUUUUAAACCCAAUGUUUGAAGCAGACAUGAAAUACAGUAAUCCUUGGUGUGAUAAUACUAGAUAUCCUAACACAGUGACAAAAUCAGCAUAUUGAUAAUGCAUAAUCAAGACCAGAAAAGCAUAAAUGAAAAUCAGUCUGAGCUCAGGUGUGGAGGAGUUCAAGAAUUGUAUGUUACGUGACAUGACGAUUACUUCACGAUGCAAAUCUUGAUAACGGAUGCAGAACCAAUACGAUGAAGUGCAACGACAGCAUCACCAGGUUUGCAUAGCCCUUUCGUUACAGCAGACUUCAGGGAAGCUUCAAGGAUUACCUCAGUUGAUUCAGAAUCAGUGGCCUUUGCGGAACCUUCACCAAGAAGUGGAAUCAAGCCCCUAUAUACCAAACUGUGUCUAGCUGGGGUCUCGUCGCUGAUGGACCAAUCGAAAGAGUCUGUAGUCAAAACAGGCACGACUACUGACAGAAUAGGAACUGCAGGCCUAUACUUGGCAACCAGCUUUGCUGUACUCCCGCCACGUGUCAGGACAACAAUGAGCUUUGCUCUAGCUUUGUUAGCCGUGCGGACAGCUGAUGAUGCAAGACUCUCCAAUGGGCUCAUUGGCAAUGGGGUACACCUGAUCAUUUCCUUGAAGAUAGCCUCGUUGUCAAGUGAAGACUCUGCCUCAAUGCAGAUUCGUGACAUGAUUUUUACCGCCAGCUCAGGAUAAGCACCAGCUGCACUCUCCCCACUUAACAUAACACAAUCAGUGCCAUCCAAGACAGCAUUAGCCACAUCAGUAGCCUCAGCACGGGUGGGUCGUGGAGACUUGAUCAUUGAUUCAAGCAUCUGGGUGGCAGUUACCACAGCUUUGCCAGCAAGAUUACACUUGUAUAUCAUCAUUUUCUGAGCCAAGAAAAUCUUCUCAACUGGAAUUUCCAUUCCGAGAUCACCUCGAGCAACCAUAAAAGAAUCUGUCUCACGAAGGAUUUCAUCAAAGUUGAUGACCCCUUCUUGGUUUUCAACCUUU
RNAcentral lists this unclassified non-coding RNA (1086 nucleotides) under Hevea brasiliensis (rubber tree). The record is from RNAcentral. Lineage: Eukaryota; Viridiplantae; Streptophyta; Magnoliopsida; Malpighiales; Euphorbiaceae.